Molecule: long non-coding RNA, 472 nt
Filed under: Capra hircus (goat)
Lineage: Eukaryota; Metazoa; Chordata; Mammalia; Artiodactyla; Bovidae
Description: lncRNA (ENSCHIG00000002608.1)
Source: RNAcentral
UGUGUCAGAUACACUCACAUUCUACUCCUAAACUGGAAAAAGAAAAGCCGAGAGAAUGUGGCUAUGAAAACAAAGGCGCAGUUUUCCUUUCACACCUCCAUUUGCAAAGAACAAGGAUGGCUCAGUGGGGAUUUUCUGAGUGUGAGUGACUCACUAAAGAGGAGGAAUAAAGAAAUGACUCAACAAAACAAGGAAAAGAUGAUGGUGGGAAGGACUACUGGCUUUUGUAUUUCUGAAGAGGAGAGAGUGAAAGGUACACAGCAGAGUUCAGAAGAAGUUGCAUCCUGGCAAAUGAGUUCAUGAAGAUGGCUGGAUGAAUGGCAGAUUAUACUCUAAUCAACAAUUUCAGUAUCCAGACAAGAGAAAAUCUAAGUGCCUGACUCCAGCAAUUAUUACAAAGUUGAAACAGUGUAUGAAAUCUAAUCUUAAUGAAAACUCCUAGAGGGUGAAGUCUUGUGUAUGCCAAGUCCUG